AAGACAGACUUUUUGUUUGUUUGUUUGUUUAAAAAUUGCACUUACGACUUUGAAUAGAAUUCUGUAUUCUGAAUCUUUUACCAUGUCUAGGGGAGAAGGGGGGCUUAAGAAGUUCUAGAAAAGUAAACAGGCAGGCAAUCUGCGUGUUUUUUGUUGCCCUAGUGAAUUCGAGUCCCAGUGGAUCGAAUCUGGUUAAUAAUGUGGAAAGUGGCUGUAAAUACGGCCAGGGCACAAAUAAAAGAAUGACAAUCCAACCUGUGUCCAACUAUCACAGCCAAAUAAUGGCUCAGGGCUCUACUUUCUUGGACUAUAAGGCAUCAACAUCCCAUCUGCGGUUCAAGUAAACCUCGCCUCUCAGAAGUAACGUACAACACUAUGUGAAGCUUCAGGAAAACUUCUGAGGCCAUGGGAAACAAGUCUCUUGAUUUAGGCUUAUUGCUUUCCUAAACUUUUCAUGCUUACUCAAGUAACUUAAAUUUUGAGGAGGAAUACAAAGAGCAACACAAAUGAUAAAAAUAGAAACCAAGAAUGUAAAGUGAAUCAGUGGUACUUGCUAUAAAUUUCAAAAAGCAAAAAUGUUUCCUUAGGAAACAUGUUCACAUGCUAAUGGAAUUAAGAUAAGUUGUUAGCUACCAACCAAGUGUAAUUCUGAAAACACGACUCCUCUUCCAUUUUAUUAUUAAUAGGCUCAAUUUCUGACUGCUAGCCUUAAAUGCUCAGAGAAGACAGGUUUAGAGUAUAUCUAUCAGAGGACAAUAGAACACUGGAUUUUUUGAAGUCUCAAGGUUCCUUAAGGUUAAAUGGAAGAGCUACCAUAGGCACAGUUUCCCUUGUAUGUGAGCUCCGGAAACACCUAGCUACUGGCUGGCAUAGGUAAUAAGUUAUUCGAAUUGGGCUGAGAAAACUUGCAGUUGCUUGAGUGGCUCCCCGGGGAGAGAGAGAGGAAGGGGAGGGAAGCCCCUGUCGGUGGCUAGACACUAAAUCAACAAUAGCAAAGGCAUUAUUCGAGAACCCGAGGGCGUCCUAUAGUCCAUCUAACAGUACAUUAAAAAGGAGAGCAAGUUUCUGAAAGCAAUUCUGAUCUGUUAGCCGAGUUUAGUGACUUGGCGAUGAGGAACCGGAAUAAAUGUGAAGAACCAACUCUCGGGACAGAAUAGGAAGCAGCAAAUAGACGUCUCAGAGAAGAAGGACAAAAAUGUGCCCUUGUUACCUUGCUGGGCUUGCAUCUGGAGUCACUAUGCCUGGUUCACUUUCUGAUUGGUUGGAUUCCAAUUAAAUGGUGGUGUCUAUCUUAACCCCCGAAUCAAGCACUGAGAGACUUUCGAGGUGGACUUUUGAAAGAGGUUUUGAGGGAACGGUGACGCUGGUUGUACUGACCUGCAGAAGAUGGUGGGCCUGGGUCUGAAAGGCGGACGCCGUUGCCCCCAGGCAGCUGCCAAAGGAAGAACAUGACCACAGAGCUCAUGAACUCAAGUGCUUCCCGGGGAAAGCGAAGCCAUUUUCACACGAACUUUGGUGCCUUCUGCUCUAAGGUUUCAGAUGGUGCCUUUAAAGUUUAAAGGGACCAGCACUGCUCUGUGAUCCGUGCUGGGAAGCCAAGCUCGCCACACCUCUCUCUUGGAUCACAGCCUACACUUCACUCCCAUAAGCGCGCCGCGGGGGAGGGGGGGGGAGACUGCCCUGUCCACCCCUGCUGAAACAGGGCCGUGAUGUUAGCUAACGGGAACAGUGGCCGAAUCAACCUGUAAGAGGCCAACAGGAAUAAAAUCAUCGUGCCCAAAUGGGACUUCUCCAGGUGCACUGAAGCAGAAUUCUACCAUGUACCAAAGCUCCUUAAUGAAAGAUUAUACUUUGUUGGGAACAUCCUGCUGAUAUUUUUCCCCCCAUCGGAGGCAUUUCCCAGUUCCCUUGUUCCUGGUUUUAUUAAUUUUAUAACCAUCUCUGAACUGAAAGAAUUGACAGUUGAGAUUACCAGACUUCUGCUCAGCACAGCUGGAUCUGCAGAAGGAUGAAUUUAGGGAGCCAAUAGGUGGGAAUGUUUUUAUUUUUUGUUUUUGUUGUUGUUGUUUUUUACAUGAAGAGUAAGAAGACCUUCGUCCUGUUUUUAGCUCUGCCUUUAGUAACUGUAAGACUCUGAACUUCAGCUGGAAUAGAAGCAUGCAGAUCCUGAUCUAUUUACCUCACUGGGUUGUUAUAAGAACUAAAUGAAAUAAUGAGUGUGUAAAAGUGCUGUCUUUUAACCACUGUGAAAACCCUCUGCAAAUGGAAGGAAGCUUUAUCGUGUUAGCUAAAAUUCUGUACAUGGCGGUACUAACUUCUCCAAUGAAUGUAAAAUUUGUGCUGUACAAGUGGAAUCACAGCAAGCUUACACCUGAACUUGAAACUCUGAGCAAACGGAGCCAAUGGACAUUACUGGGUAGCUGGCUUUCAAUUCUUGGUUGUAAUUUUAUUUUAGUUGCUUUUCACAAAUAAUGAUACUGACAGCUAUCAUUUAUUGAGCACUUGCUAAAUGGAAAGCACUCUUCUAAGUGCUUUAUAUGCCAUAACUCAUUUAACCCUCAUAAAAUCCUAUUGUCUCCAGCUUAAAGAUGCAGACACAGGUGAUGAGCCCGAGUAAUUGCUCCAGGAUCUGCACGUACCACAGAGGAGCUCAGAUCUGAACCCAAUCCACUGGUUCUAGAACCUGUGCUCAUCUCUCCUAUAUCAUUUGCCUCUUCCCACAAAGGCCCAUUACAGGAAGUCGUGCAUUGCACACAAAUAGCACCAAGCUCAAAAACCACUGGGGGGAGGAUGCCAAUAAGCUGGAGACAGGACCAAUCCUAACACUGGCAAUAUGGGCUCAUCUGUCAUAUCCCACAUCCACACGAGCAACCCACAAGCAAUUGUAUGAUCAAGGGCUUUCAGCAAUGAAAUUACCCUCUGUUGGAGGAGAACCCCACCUAGUUUAUUUGGUUCUGCUGCUGCCCUGAACACUCCUGGCAGUACUAUCUGCUUUAGAAAGUAUAUAAAGUGGCAGGGUACCCUUAUGACUGCCCACCUCACUUCCUGAUAACUGGGAACUGCUUAGACUUCAUAUGAAGGAGGUGGUUCUACACCCUGAGCUGUCUCUUCUGCAGUCACAUGGCCCAUUUCUGCUGGGAACUUUCUAUGCCUGGUGAUUGGCAGAUAAAUGACCUCAGAGGCUGGGCUUCAUAAGAAUGAGAAGCAGGGGGCAUUUCCACAGAGAUUCUCUCCUUGAAGGGCUCGCUAAAACGAAAUGAGUUUCUGGGAGAGAUUUUCUUUGCACGUGUGAGGGCACACACACUGUCUUCUUACCAGAAUAACAACCUGCUUACCUGCUGGUUGCUCCUCUCCCUGCACCAGGCCAACAAGCCCUUUAUACUCAACUAUGAUGAGUGAGGGAUGAGCUCCCCCCAAAUCCUGAGCCCCACACAUGCUCUAGCUGUCCUUUGUGGCUUCCUGUGGUGAGCUGGGAAGAAGCGGGGCACAAAAGUUAUAAAGACAGCUGAGGAUGGCCAGGUCUGGGGAC
Zalophus californianus (California sea lion) is the source of this 3529-nucleotide long non-coding RNA. RefSeq lists it as uncharacterized. The transcript is spliced from 3 exons. NCBI's taxonomy places the organism in Eukaryota, Metazoa, Chordata, Mammalia, Carnivora, Otariidae. The record is from RefSeq and is a predicted model, not a curated record.